UCGCGUAGGGAUUUAUCGUUGGGUGGGGGAUAACCGUGGGAAACUGCGGCUAAUACCGCAUGACGCCUGUGGGCCAAAGCCGCUGUGAGGUGGUGCCUGAUGAGGAGCCCGCGUCCGAUUAGCUAGUAGGUUGGGUAAUGGCUGACCUAGGCUGUGAUCGGUAGCUGGUCUGAGAGGAUGAUCAGCCACACUGGGACUGAGACACGGCCCAG
Molecule: ribosomal RNA, 212 nt
Filed under: uncultured bacterium
Lineage: Bacteria
Description: partial 16S ribosomal RNA
Rfam family: Bacterial small subunit ribosomal RNA
Source: RNAcentral